GUCACGGCUAAUCUACGUGCCAGCAGCCGCUGUAAUACGUAGGUGGCAAGCGUUUCCGGAAUUAUCGGGCGUAAAGCGCGCGUAGGCGGCUUUUUAAGUCUGAUGUGAAAGCCCACGGCUCACCCGUGGAGGGUCAUGGAAACUGGAAAACUUGAGUGCAGAAGAGGAAAGUGGAAUUCCAUGUGUAGCGGUGAAAUGCGCAGAGAUAUGGAGGAACACCAGUGGCGAAGGCGAUUUUUUGGUCUGUAACUGACGCUGAUGUGUGAAAGCGUGGGGAUCAAACAGGAUUAGAUACCGUGGUAGUCCACGCUGUAAACGAUGAGUGCUAAGUGUUAGGGGGUUUCCGCCCCUUAGUGCUGCAGCUAACGCACUAAGCACUCACGCNUGGGGAGUACGACCGCAAGGUUGAAACUCAAAGGAAUUGACGAGGACCCGCACAAGCGGUGGAGCACGUGGUUUAAUUUGAAGCAACGCGAAGAACCUUACCAAAUCUUGACAUCCUUGGACAACUCUAGAGAUAGAGCUUUCCCCUUCGGGGGACAAAGUGACAGGUGGUGCAUGGUUGUUGUCAGCUCGUGUCGUGAGAUGUUGGUUUAAGUCCCGCAACGAGCGCAACCCUUAAGCUUAGUCGCCAUCAUUAACUUGGGCACUGUAAGUUGACUGCCGGUGACAAACCGGAGGAAGGUGGGGAUGACGUCAAAUCAUCAUGCCCCUUAUGAUUUGGGCUACACACGUGCUACAAUGGACAAUACAAAGGGCAGCGAAACCGCGAGGUCAAGCAAAUCCCAUAAAGUUGUUCUCAGUUCGGAUNGUAGUCUGCAACUCGACUACAUGAAGCUGGAAUCGCUAGUAAUCGUAGAUCAGCAUGCUACGGUGAAUACGUUCCCGGGUCUUGUACACACC
This 903-nucleotide ribosomal RNA is filed under the name Staphylococcus aureus. RNAcentral's name for it is "bacterial SSU rRNA". It matches the Rfam family "Bacterial small subunit ribosomal RNA", at positions 490 to 1391 of the family's 1533-position model. The record is from RNAcentral. Lineage: Bacteria; Bacillati; Bacillota; Bacilli; Caryophanales; Staphylococcaceae.